This 136-nucleotide ribosomal RNA is filed under the name Polytomella magna. RNAcentral describes it as "mtLSU-5 from Polytomella magna (PDB 8APN, chain A5)". Lineage: Eukaryota; Viridiplantae; Chlorophyta; Chlorophyceae; Chlamydomonadales; Chlamydomonadaceae. The record is from RNAcentral.
UAAUGUGCACCAAACAACCAGGAGGUGGGCUUGGAAGCAGCCAUCCUUUGAAGAAAGCGUAAUAGCUCUGCUUUUUGUGUAACAUUACACUACACGCAGAAAAUAAAAGCCGAAGCUCGCUUGUUCAGUUAAAUAU